UAGGGAAUCUUCCGCAAUGGACGCAAGUCUGACGGAGCAACGCCGCGUGAGUGAAGAAGGAUUUCGGUUCGUAAAACUCUGUUGUUAGAGAAGAACAUCGCAUAGCGUAACUGUUAUGCGUGUGACGGUAUCUAACCAGAAAGCCACGGCUAACUACGUGCCAGCAGCUGCGGUAAUACGUAGGUGGCAAGCGUUGUCCGGAUUUAUUGGUCGUAAAGCGAGCGCAGGCGGUCAAUUAAGUCUGAUGUGAAAGCCCCCGGCUCAACCGGGGAGGGUCAUUGGAAACUGGUUGACUUGAGUGCAGAAGAGGAGAGUGGAAUUCCAUGUGUAGCGGUGAAAUGCGUAGAUAUAUGGAAGAACACCAGUGGCGAAGGCGACUCUCUGGUCUGUAACUGACGCUGAGGUUCGAAAGCGUGGGUAGCAAACAGG
RNAcentral lists this ribosomal RNA (429 nucleotides) under Bacteroidota bacterium. Its description in RNAcentral is "Bacteroidetes bacterium partial 16S ribosomal RNA". It matches the Rfam family "Bacterial small subunit ribosomal RNA", at positions 355 to 776 of the family's 1533-position model. The record is from RNAcentral. Lineage: Bacteria; Pseudomonadati; Bacteroidota.